RNAcentral lists this ribosomal RNA (539 nucleotides) under Boeremia foveata. RNAcentral's name for it is "eukaryotic LSU rRNA". The stretch from base 171 to 324 matches the Rfam family "5.8S ribosomal RNA". Lineage: Eukaryota; Fungi; Ascomycota; Dothideomycetes; Pleosporales; Didymellaceae. The record is from RNAcentral.
CCGUUAGGGGGACCUGCGGAAGGAUCAUUACCUAGAGUUGUAGGCUUUGCCUACCAUCUCUUACCCAUGUCUUUUGAGUACCUUCGUUUCCUCGGCGGGUCCGCCCGCCGAUUGGACAAACUUAAACCCUUUGUAAUUGAAAUCAGCGUCUGAAAAAACAUAAUAGUUACAACUUUCAACAACGGAUCUCUUGGUUCUGGCAUCGAUGAAGAACGCAGCGAAAUGCGAUAAGUAGUGUGAAUUGCAGAAUUCAGUGAAUCAUCGAAUCUUUGAACGCACAUUGCGCCCCUUGGUAUUCCAUGGGGCAUGCCUGUUCGAGCGUCAUUUGUACCUUCAAGCUCUGCUUGGUGUUGGGUGUUUGUCUCGCCUUUGCGUGUAGACUCGCCUUAAAACAAUUGGCAGCCGGCGUAUUGAUUUCGGAGCGCAGUACAUCUCGCGCUUUGCACUCAUAACGACGACGUCCAAAAAGUACUUUUUACACUCUUGACCUCGGAUCAGGUAGGGAUACCCGCUGAACUUAAGCAUAUCAAAAGGCCCGG